This 626-nucleotide ribosomal RNA is filed under the name Staphylococcus aureus. Its description in RNAcentral is "partial 23S ribosomal RNA". It matches the Rfam family "Bacterial large subunit ribosomal RNA", at positions 694 to 1324 of the family's 2925-position model. The record is from RNAcentral. Lineage: Bacteria; Bacillati; Bacillota; Bacilli; Caryophanales; Staphylococcaceae.
GUUUAGUAUUUGGUCGUAGACCCGAAACCAGGUGAUCUACCCUUGGUCAGGUUGAAGUUCAGGUAACACUGAAUGGAGGACCGAACCGACUUACGUUGAAAAGUGAGCGGAUGAACUGAGGGUAGCGGAGAAAUUCCAAUCGAACCUGGAGAUAGCUGGUUCUCUCCGAAAUAGCUUUAGGGCUAGCCUCAAGUGAUGAUUAUUGGAGGUAGAGCACUGUUUGGACGAGGGGCCCCUCUCGGGUUACCGAAUUCAGACAAACUCCGAAUGCCAAUUAAUUUAACUUGGGAGUCAGAACAUGGGUGAUAAGGUCCGUGUUCGAAAGGGAAACAGCCCAGACCACCAGCUAAGGUCCCAAAAUAUAUGUUAAGUGGAAAAGGAUGUGGCGUUGCCCAGACAACUAGGAUGUUGGCUUAGAAGCAGCCAUCAUUUAAAGAGUGCGUAAUAGCUCACUAGUCGAGUGACACUGCGCCGAAAAUGUACCGGGGCUAAACAUAUUACCGAAGCUGUGGAUUGUCCUUUGGACAAUGGUAGGAGAGCGUUCUAAGGGCGUUGAAGCAUGAUCGUAAGGACAUGUGGAGCGCUUAGAAGUGAGAAUGCCGGUGUGAGUAGCGAAAGACGGGUGA